RNAcentral lists this long non-coding RNA (518 nucleotides) under Papio anubis (olive baboon). RNAcentral describes it as "lncRNA (ENSPANG00000047503.1)". Lineage: Eukaryota; Metazoa; Chordata; Mammalia; Primates; Cercopithecidae. The record is from RNAcentral.
GCUCAUAUCAAGUAUUAACAUCUUUUAUUUUUUCUAGAUUAAAAGCUAUGAAUUUUAGUAUGUCCAAAUAAGAUAAAAAGGUUACUAUAUGUAUAUUUAUCCUGUUCUGUUAAUUUAAAAUGCAAAAUUAAGCAUGGUAGUCCUAAACUUUAGGACAUACAGUAAUGAAAAAUAAAUAUUAUGGCUGAAUGAUAUUCUUAGUAAGUUCAUUUCAAAAGAAUUAAAAUUGUUUUAAUUUUCACAGUGAAAUUGAAACUAUUUUCUUCAUUAGAUAAAAAAUAUUCUGCAGGAGAACCAAGCUUCUAAUUAUUCUAAGGGUCUUGCUCGGUCACCUAGGCUGAGGUGCAGUGGCACAGUGACAGUUCACUAUAACCUUGAACACCUGGGUUCAAGUGAUCUUCCUGCCUUGGCCUUCCAGAGGGCUUGGAUUACAGUAAGACAUACAGCUGUGAGUUUAUAAAAGUCUACAGAUUUUCAUCAAAUAAUGAUAAGAGAAAAAUAGAUAAGCUUUCUUUCUU